Molecule: ribosomal RNA, 464 nt
Filed under: uncultured bacterium
Lineage: Bacteria
Description: partial 16S ribosomal RNA
Rfam family: Bacterial small subunit ribosomal RNA
Source: RNAcentral
GACGAACGCUGGCGGCGCGCCUAACACAUGCAAGUCGAACGAGCGAGAGAGAGCUUGAUUUCUUGAGCGAGCGGCGAACGGGUGAGUAACGCGUGAGGAACCCGCCUCAAAGAGGGGGACAACAGUUGGAAACGACUGCUAAUACCGCAUAAGCCCACGGUGCCGCAUGGCACAGAGGGAAAAGGAGCAAUCCGCUUUGAGAUGGCCUCGCGUCCGAUUAGCUAGUUGGUGAGGUAACGGCCCACCAAGGCGACGAUCGGUAGCCGGACUGAGAGGUUGAACGGCCACAUUGGGACUGAGACACGGCCCAGACUCCUACGGGAGGCAGCAGUGGGGAAUAUUGCACAAUGGGGGAAACCCUGAUGCAGCGACGCCGCGUGGAGGAAGAAGGUCUUCGGAUUGUAAACUCCUGUUGUUGGGGAAGAUAAUGACGGUACCCAACAAGGAAGUGACGGCUAACUACG